ACUCCUACGGGAGGCAGCAGUGAGGAAUAUUGGACAAUGGGCGCAAGCCUGAUCCAGCCAUGCCGCGUGCAGGAUGACGGUCCUAUGGAUUGUAAACUGCUUUUGUACGAGAAGAAACACUCCUAUGUAUAGGAGCUUGACGGUAUCGUAAGAAUAAGGAUCGGCUAACUCCGUGCCAGCAGCCGCGGUAAU
RNAcentral lists this ribosomal RNA (192 nucleotides) under uncultured bacterium. RNAcentral describes it as "partial 16S ribosomal RNA". It matches the Rfam family "Bacterial small subunit ribosomal RNA", at positions 335 to 524 of the family's 1533-position model. The record is from RNAcentral.